UAGUCAUAUGCUUGUCUCAAAGAUUAAGCCAUGCAUGUCUAAGUAUAAACAAAUUUGUACUGUGAAACUGCGAAUGGCUCAUUAAAUCAGUUAUAGUUUAUUUGAUGGUACAUUACUACAUGGAUAACUGUGGUAAUUCUAGAGCUAAUACAUGCGUUAAAAUCCCGACUUACGAAGGGAUGUAUUUAUUAGAUACAAAACCAAUUCGUGGCAACACGAUAUUGGUGAGUCAUAAUAACUUUUCGAAUCGCAUGGCCUUGAGCCGGCGAUGCAUCAUU
This 278-nucleotide ribosomal RNA is filed under the name uncultured eukaryote. Its description in RNAcentral is "partial 18S ribosomal RNA". It matches the Rfam family "Eukaryotic small subunit ribosomal RNA", at positions 21 to 299 of the family's 1831-position model. The record is from RNAcentral.